Molecule: long non-coding RNA, 7827 nt
Filed under: Citrus x clementina
Lineage: Eukaryota; Viridiplantae; Streptophyta; Magnoliopsida; Sapindales; Rutaceae
Description: Citrus clementina (C. clementina) long non-coding RNA (CCLE_LNC000313)
Source: RNAcentral
CAUUAAUAAUAAUUAAUUAUAAGUUUUAAAACAUUCAUUUAUUUUAUUAAGCCAACAACUAAAAUUUAGUAGCUUAAAAUGCAUCAACUAAUUAAUAUACGAAAGAAGGUUCCUUCAUCUUCCCUCACCAAUGCCACUAGGGCCUAAUUUUAAUGCAAUAAUCUUAUAUUUAAUUAUGCAACAUUUCGUUUACUGUCUUUUGGCUUAUUCAAAUUCUAUAAACAAUAAGUAUUUAAGAUUUGUUAUGUUUUGGUUUUUUUUUAUUAUUUAACCAACAUCCUUUUUAGAAAUAUUCGUGUUUUUAUUUUUUGACUUAUUUGAAUUUUUUAGUAUUGUGUGCUUCAUGGAGUACUUUUUUCUUCAUGAGUUGAAUAAUGAUAAAGAGAGUUGGAUAACGAGGGUUAGGCUUUAUAGGAUGUGGGAGCUAUUAUGUAACGCCACAAAUUCUCAUACAUAUUAAAUUAUGGAAAUUGGGCUUUCAUUGAGAAUUAUGGGUGGCCUAUAACCCUUAUUUAGAAAGGGGUACUAAUUAAAUAGAGGUUAUUUAUGAGAUCAUUUUGGAAAAGGGCUAUUUUUCCUUAUUGAAUAGGGUUUCUUAAGAUCCCCUAUAAAUACAUACUUUUCCCCCUUCCAUAACCCUAAGUUCACAACGUUUAUUCUUCUUCUCUGCUGCUCUUUACGCUCCUACCCAAAUCUUAGGAUUCAAACCUUUGUUUAGGAGAGAAUCAAAGCGACGGGUAAGUUCACAACGUUUAUUCUGAACAGCAUGAGUAUCUCGAAUUUUUAAAGCUAUAUUUUCUGAACGAAUUUUCUUAUAAAAUUUAUAUUUCUGGAAACUAGACAUGUAGGGCUUCUUGAUUAAAUUUUAUUUCAUUAAAUUCAACUUCGUUUUCAAUUUUAUACGUAUUUUGGAAAUAGAAACCACUGCACUGGAAAUCCACGAUUCCAGUAUUGUGAUCAGAUUCACAAGACUAUUUGUACCACCAAAUGAACUCAAAAAAUUCUGAAAGUUUAUAUGUAUGUUAAUAUAUGUGUUUAGGAUUCCCAGUUUUAAUUUCAUAAUUUUCUGAUUAGUAUUUUAUUUUAUAAAAAUCAUGGAACCCGUUCUGUUUGGUUUAGAUUAUGUGAAAACAGUUUCGAAUUUGCUGAGAAGUAAAUAGUUUUUAAAAUGUUUUUGAUAUCGGAUUCUCUUGUAAAUUUUACAUGGGGUACUCAUUGAUGUCCAAAAUGGUUCCAUAGGAUUUUAUAUCAUUCUGAGACUUGGAUUAAGAGUUAAAAUUCCGAGAAUCAGACCUGUAUGGGUAUGAAUUAGAAAAUCAAAUUCUUAGAAUAAGUUAUUGAUUGUCAUAUCUUGUAUUUGUUUAAGGUUUUGAAGGUGUUUGAGGCUCUUAGAAGCUUUAGAGGUGUGUUAAUUCAAAUUCAUUUGUCGAGAUAAGUAACUUCAUUCCUAGUAUACUGGAUAUGUAUAAGUAUUUUGAUAUUAUUGUUAUAAGUAUAAAUGUUUUUAUACUACUUAAAGGAUUAAUUGAUUUUGAUAAUAAAAUUAGUUUUAUGUAAAUGUUUUAAAGCUAAAUUCUUUUUAACAAAGUAUUUUAUAAAUGCUUUUGAAUAUGUAAGUUAUUUUGUUACAUGCCUACUUUUAUGAUUUUAUUUAUAAAAUGUUAUGCAAGCCUAAAUUAUUGAUAUGAACUUUUAUGAAACUGAUACGAAUGUUUUGUACCUAUGUUUGAUUUCAAUUAUUGAUGAUUGUAUGAGAUUCUUAAUGUUUUGGCUCAUUGUCCAUAGUUAUUCUAAUUCUGAUUCUGAUUCUAAUCGUAAUAUACGAUAUAUCUGUCUGGACCAGUACUGGGUUUCUGUUCUGAAUGUGCACACGAUAUUCUGAUUCUGUUUCUGGCCGGGUCACCGGGACUAUAGGUGACACUAUGUGACAUGAGCUAACCUGUUUGUUUUCUGUAUACGUAUUACAUGAUUUGAUUCGUAAGUAAAUAUGCUUUUGAAUAUUCUGAAUUAUUAAGAAUUUAUCUUAUGUUAUUGUGAUAUAUCGUUUUAUGAAAUUUAUGGAUUAUGAUAUAUGCUUUAAACAAAAGAAGGCUUGCAAUAUUUUUGGUAUCGAUAGGCCUAGUGUGUUAGGAAUGGUUUUACUUACCGAGUUGACGGCUCACCCCUCGUCAUUACUUUUUUUUGCAGAUUAAGUUUCUUUUGAGAGGUGCACUUAGCUUUGGAGUUAGUGAUUUCCAGUUUCCGUUUGACAUUGAAUAAGAGGAGGAAUAGACUUGUGUUUCUAUUUAGUUACUUUUAUUAUGAACGUGUAAUUUGGAGUUUGAGACUUUUGUUAUUAUUUUUAUAUGUCCUCGAGAGAGAUUAUUUAGUAUUUGACGUUUGGAUUUAUGGAUUUAUUUGAAUAAGAAUUGGAGGAAUUUCAGUUUGAAACUUAUGAGUAAAGAUUAUGAUUUGUGAGUAACCUCCUUCUUCACGUGCUCCGCACGUGUUAGAUUUGGGGUGUUACAAUUGUGGUAUCAGAGCAACUAGGUUAGGAUUCUGUAGACUUUCUUUUACGGUUUAAUUAGAUUGUCUAAUUAAAUCGAUUACAUUUGUUUUGUAGACAUGAAGAAGGACAAUAUGGGUAUGAAAAGUGUCAAGAAUAAGGGAUGGACAGAAAUUGAUUGGACCGAACAAUUUAUCUUAAGAGGAGUUCUUGUCAAAGAUCUUAGUUAUACUAUUUAUUGCUCUUGUUUUCAAUAACAAAUUUUCUUAGUUAUACUACUUAUUCAGUACUCUGCGCGCUUGCACGACCUUUAGCUAUGAAUUAUUUACCCUUUUUAAUUAUUUAUUUAUUCUCUGUGUUAUAGUCAAGAGAUGUCACGUAAGGGAGGUGCUAGGCAUGCCUCUAGCUCGAGAGAUGUUUUAGGUAUCGCUGACGACGCUGACCCAACCUUGCACGAGAUGGCUAACGAAGGAAAUCCUAUGAUGCGCGCAAUGCUUAGAUUGAUGGAACAACAAAGUAAGUUAAUUCAAGAUAUGGCUAGAGGCAGAGUUGGGGCACAAGAGAAUGUGCCAGUUGAAAGGCAAGGUGGCGCAAGAGAUCAUGGGGCUAUGGUGAACUUAGAACGAUUUAAGAAAUUGGGACCACCUACCUUUCAGGGGACUGUCGAUCCCAUGGUUGCAGAGGCAUGGCUAAAACAGAUGGAGAAGAUAUUUGUGGCUAUGGGUUGUAAUGAUGAUCAAAGGGUAAUAUUAGCCUCAUUUGUCCUUCAGGGUGAGGCAGACCACUGGUGGGAUGCCAAAUCUCGUCUCAUAAGGGCUGGCUUGCAAAAUGCACCCAUUACUUGGGAGUUAUUUUUGGAGGCUUUUCAUGAAAAGUAUUUUCCUGAACGAGUUCGACAUCGGAUAGAGGCUGAUUUCUUGAGGUUGACUCAAGGAACAAAGUCUGUUGCAGAGUAUGAGGAACAAUUUACUGCCCUCUCUCGUUUUGCUCAUACCUUGGUUGCUAAUGAAGGUAGUAAGUGUAGGAAGUUCCUGGAAGGGUUACGUCCUAACAUUAAAGGGCGAUUGACCAUCCUUAAGAUUAACAAUUAUGCCGAUUUGGUGGACCGAGCAAUUCUUGCGGAGAAGGAUAUUCUUGAAGCCCAAGUUACAAGGGAUCAGAGAAAUAAGAAGAAUCAACAAGGUGGACCGCGAAAUGGAAGUUCCUUUAGGCAGGGCACUCACUCCCAGAAGUAUAAUGGUGGAGGUAACAAAUGGGAUAACAAGGGUGUUACUGGUGACACCGCUCGGAGGAACUACCCCAUUUGUCGACAUUGUGAAAGGAGGCACCCUGGUGAAUGCCAUUGGAAAACUGGAGCUUGUUUUGCUUGUGGAGAAUCUGGGCAUAGGAUUAUGGAUUGCCCAAAGAGACGUAGCGAGACUACAAAUACUCCGACUAACGAAGGGCAGAGGAAGAAACCGAGGGUGCAAGGGCGUGUUUUUGCACUAACAGAAAAAGAUGCUGAGGUGUCCAAUGAUGUAGUAUCAGGUACAUUGUCCUUAUUCUCUAGAGAAGCCAAAGUUCUUUUUGAUCCUGGUGCUACACAUUCAUUUGUAUCUUGUGUGUUUGCCCGUUAUGCUAAUGUGCCUAUCACACCACUGGAUGUUCACGUGACAAUUAGUACCCCUAUGGGGGAUUGCCAGUUUAUAGAUCAUGUCUAUAAGUCAUGUGUGAUCAGAUUGUGUGAUAAAGAAUUCCUUGUGGAUCUCCUACCUUUAGCGAUGCACGAUUUUGAUUUGAUUUUGGGGAUGGAUUGGUUAGGACCUUACCAUGUUUCAAUAGAUUGUUUUGCUAAGGAAAUUAUUUUUCGCCUACCUGGUGAGGAAGAAUUUCAUUUUCAAGGGAAUCAUAAGAGUCAUAAAGCUUUGAUUUCUAUGGUUAAGGCAAUGAAAAUGCUAAAGAAGGGGUGUGAAGGAUUUUUAGCGUAUAUAGUUGCUGACCAUCCCGAUGGGGCGUGCCUUGAAGACAUUCCUACUGUAAGGGAGUUUAUUGAUGUAUUUCCUGAAGAUCUUCCGGGACUACCCCCAGAUCGAGAGGUUGAGUUUACUAUAGAAUUAGUUCCUGGUACUACACCUAUAUCCAAGGCACCAUAUCGGAUGGCACCCAUUGAAUUAAAAGAACUAAAGGUCCAGCUACAAGAAUUACUAGAUAAGGGUUUCAUUCGUCCUAGUGUGUCGCCUUGGGGUGCUCCCGUUUUGUUCGUAAAGAAGAAAGAUGGUUCAAUGAGGUUGUGUAUAGACUACCGGCAGUUGAAUAUGGUUACCGUCAAGAAUAAAUACCCUCUUCCCCGAAUUGAUGACCUCUUUGAUCAAUUACGAGGUGCAGCGGUAUUCUCUAAAAUUGAUUUACGAUCUGGCUACCAUCAAUUGAAAAUAAGAAGUGAGGAUGUAUCGAAGACAGCUUUUCGAACUCGUUAUGGACACUAUGAGUUCUUAGUUAUGCCUUUUGGAUUAACUAAUGCUCCUGCAGCGUUCAUGGAUUUGAUGAAUAGGAUCUUCCAACCUUAUCUUGACCAAUUUGUCAUCGUCUUUAUUGAUGACAUAUUAAUUUACUCUAAGAGUAAGAAGGAGCAUGAGUCGCACCUGAGGAUUGUAUUAGAAACAUUGCGGAAGAAGAAGUUGUAUGGAAAAUUUAAGAAAUGUGAGUUUUGGCUUGAUCGUGUGAUGUUUUUGGGACAUAUAGUGACGAAGGAUGGUAUUUCAGCAGAUCCAGCCAAAGUGGAGGUAAUUGUGAAUUGGGAAAGGCCUGCUAGUGUGACUGAAGUAAGGAGUUUCUUAGGAUUGGCAGGUUAUUAUAGGCGCUUUGUCAAAGGAUUUUCUAGCAUAGCAGCACCAUUGACUAAUUUGACUAAGAAGAAUGUGAAGUUCAAUUGGGAUGAGGCAUGUGAAAAGAGCUUUCAAGAGCUCAAGAGUCAUUUGGUGACUGCCCCCGUUUUAACUCUCCCUUCUGAAGGUGGAGGUUUUGUGAUUUACAGUGAUGCUUCCAGAAAAGGUUUGGGUUGCGUUUUAAUGCAACAUGGUAAGGUUAUAGCAUAUGCUUCUAGGCAGCUAAAGAAUCAUGAACAAAACUACCCAACACACGAUUUGGAAUUGACUGCUAUAGUGUUUGCUCUAAAAAUCUGGAGACACUAUUUGUAUAGGGAGACUUGUGAGAUCUUCACCGAUCAUAAGAGUUUGAAGUACUUGUUUACUCAAAAGGAAUUGAAUUUGAGGCAAAGAAGAUGGUUGGAGUUGGUAAAGGAUUUUGAUUGUUCUAUUAAUUACCAUCCAGGUAAGGCAAACGUGGUAGCAGAUGCCUUGAGUAGGAAAUCAUCUGGGUGCAUGGCUCAUCUUAUCACCAUGCAAUCUCAUUUGGUAAAAGACUUGAGGAGAUGUGGGAUUGAGGUAGUUACUCAUGGGCAAGCAGACGUGUUAGCACAUUUGACAGUCCAACCCACUCUAAUUGAUAGAGUUAAGGUAGCUCAGAAGAACGACAUAGAACUCAAUAAAAUCCGUGAAGAUGUAAGCAAAGGACAUAAGCUCGGAUUUAGACUUGAUAAUGGGGAUGGAUUAUGGUUGGGACAAAGGUUAUGCGUGCCAGCAGACGAAGAGUUGAAGGCAGAGAUCUUAAGAGAAGCUCAUGAAUCAUCUUACAGUAUGCAUCCUGGUAGUACUAAGAUGUAUCGUGAUCUAAAGCAAAGUUUUUGGUGGAGGAAUAUAAAGAGAGAUAUUGCUGCUUUUGUGUCUCGGUGUUUAGUCUGCCAACAAGUAAAGAUUGAGCAUCAAAGACCAGCAGGAACUUUACAAACGCUUCCUAUUCCUCAGUGGAAAUGGGAACACAUAACAAUGGAUUUCGUUUCUGGAUUACCUCGUUCUAGGAGGGGAUGUGAUUGCAUUUGGGUAAUUGUUGAUCGAUUGACGAAAUCAGCUCAUUUCUUGGCAAGGAAGAGUACAGACAAUGUAGGGCAACUAGCUAAGUUGUUCAUUAAGGAGAUAGUGAGGCUUCAUGGGGUUCCAGUAUCAAUAGUGUCUGAUAGAGAUCCACUGUUCACUUCAAGAUUUUGGGCUAGCUUACAUAAAGAGUUGGGGACGAAAUUGAGAUUUAGCACUGCUUUCCAUCCACAGACAGAUGGGCAAUCAGAAAGGACUAUUCAAACCCUUGAGGAUAUGCUUCGAGCUUGCGUCCUAGACUUGAGUGGUGGUUGGGAAGAGCACCUAAUGUUGAUCGAAUUUGCUUAUAACAAUAACUUCCAUUCGAGUAUUGGCAUGGCACCAUUUGAGGCAUUAUAUGGAAGAAAGUGUAGGUCCCCAAUCUGUUGGGAUGAAGUUGGUGAAAGAAAACUUUUGGGUCCAGAAUUAAUACAGAUUACUGUUGAUAAAAUCAAGUUGAUUAGAGGACGUCUUCAAACAGCUCAGAGCAGACAGAAGAGUUAUGCAGAUCGUCGUAGACGUGAGUUGGAAUUCGAAAAAGGAGAUUUUGUUUUCUUGAAAGUAUCGCCAUGGAAAGGGGUGUUUCGGUUCGGGAAGACAGGAAAGCUUAGCCCUAGAUUUAUUGGACCAUUUGAGAUUUUAGAGAGAAUUGGUCCGGUGGCCUAUCGCAUAGCUUUACCACCAAGUCUGUCUAGGCUUCACAAUGUAUUUCAUGUGUCUGUGUUAAGAAAGUACAUUGCAGACCCUUUACAUGUGCUAGACUAUCAACCGAUUCAGAUAAAUGAAGACAUGUCGUAUGAGGAACAGCCUAUUGAGAUUGUCGAUCGAGACGAACAAGUAUUAAGGAAUAGAGUUAUUCCCCUAGUGAAGGUACGAUGGAUGAAUCAUUCUAUUGAGGAAGCCACUUGGGAGAGAGAAGCAGAAAUGUUGGAGAAGUAUCCUCAACUCUUCCAUGCAUAAGGUAACCUUUUAAUUUCGAGGACGAAAUUUUUGUUAGGAGGGGAGAAAUUGUAACGCCACAAAUUCCCAUACAUAUUAAAUUAUGGAAAUUGGGCUUUCAUUGAGAAUUAUGAGUGGCCUAUAACCCUUAUUUAGAAAGGGGUACUAAUUAAAUAGAGGUUAUUUAUGAGAUCAUUUUGGAAAAGGGCUAUUUUUCCUUAUUGAAUAGGGUUUCUUAAGAUCCCCUAUAAAUACAUACUUUUCCCCCUUCCAUAACCCUAAGUUCACAACGUUUAUCCUUCUUCUCUGCUGCUCUUUACGCUCCUACCCAAAUCUUAGGAUUCAAACCUUUGUUUAGGAGAGAAUCAAAGCGACGGGUAAGUUCACAACGUUUAUUCUGAACAGCAUGAGUAUCUCGAAUUUUUAAAGCUAUAUUUUCUGAACGAAUUUUCUUAU